RNAcentral lists this transfer RNA (73 nucleotides) under Parafannyhessea umbonata. RNAcentral describes it as "Olsenella umbonata tRNA-Asp". It matches the Rfam family "tRNA". Rfam says of the family: Transfer RNA (tRNA) molecules are approximately 80 nucleotides in length. Lineage: Bacteria; Bacillati; Actinomycetota; Coriobacteriia; Coriobacteriales; Atopobiaceae. The record is from RNAcentral.
GGGGUAUUAGCUCAGCUGGUUAGAGCGCCGGCCUGUCACGUCGGAGGUCGCGGGUUCGAGUCCCGCAUAUCCC